RNAcentral lists this unclassified non-coding RNA (333 nucleotides) under soil metagenome. RNAcentral describes it as "partial contains 5.8S ribosomal RNA, internal transcribed spacer 2, and large subunit ribosomal RNA". The stretch from base 1 to 120 matches the Rfam family "5.8S ribosomal RNA", at positions 35 to 154 of the family's 154-position model. The record is from RNAcentral.
GAUGAAGAACGUAGCGAAAUGCGAUAAGUAGUGUGAAUUGCAGAAUUCAGUGAAUCAUCGAAUCUUUGAACGCACAUUGCGCCCCUUGGUAUUCCAUGGGGCAUGCCUGUUCGAGCGUCAUUUGUACCUUCAAGCUUUGCUUGGUGUUGGGUGUUUGUCCAUUCUCUUGCAGAGGGACUCGCCUUAAAGUAAUUGGCAGCCAGUGUUUUGGUUUUGAAGCGCAGCACAAGUCGCGAUUCAAAGCUAUACGCCCGCUUCCACAAGCCUUCUUCACUUUUGACCUCGGAUCAGGUAGGGAUACCCGCUGAACUUAAGCAUAUCAAAAGCGGAGGA